This 492-nucleotide ribosomal RNA is filed under the name uncultured bacterium. Its description in RNAcentral is "partial 16S ribosomal RNA". It matches the Rfam family "Bacterial small subunit ribosomal RNA", at positions 29 to 507 of the family's 1533-position model. The record is from RNAcentral.
AGUGAACGCUGGCGGUAGGCCUAACACAUGCAAGUCGAACGGCAGCACAGUAAGAGCUUGCUCUUACGGGUGGCGAGUGGCGGACGGGUGAGGAAUACAUCGGAAUCUACUUUUUCGUGGGGGAUAACGUAGGGAAACUUACGCUAAUACCGCAUACGACCUACGGGUGAAAGCAGGGGAUCUUCGGACCUUGCGCGAUUGAAUGAGCCGAUGUCGGAUUAGCUAGUUGGCGGGGUAAAGACCCACCAAGGCGACGAUCCGUAGCUGGUCUGAGAGGAUGAUCAGCCACACUGGAACUGGGACACGGUCCAGACUCCUACGGGAGGCAGCAGUGGGGAAUAUUGGACUAUGGGCGCAAGCCUGAUCCAGCCAUACCGCGUGGGUGAAGAAGGCCUUCGGGUUGUAAAGCCCUUUUGUUGGGAAAGAAAAGCAGCAGGUUAAUACCCCGCUGUUCUGACGGUACCCAAAGAAUAAGCACCGGCUAACUUCGUG